Molecule: ribosomal RNA, 687 nt
Filed under: uncultured Bacillus sp.
Lineage: Bacteria; Bacillati; Bacillota; Bacilli; Caryophanales; Bacillaceae
Description: bacterial SSU rRNA
Rfam family: Bacterial small subunit ribosomal RNA
Source: RNAcentral
UGCAAGUCGAGCGGACCGACGGGAGCUUGCUCCCUUAGGUCAGCGGCGGACGGGUGAGUAACACGUGGGUAACCUGCCUGUAAGACUGGGAUAACUCCGGGAAACCGGGGCUAAUACCGGAUGCUUGAUUGAGCCGCAUGGCUCAAUUAUAAAAGGUGGCUUUCAGCUACCACUUACAGAUGGACCCGCGGCGCAUUAGCUAGUUGGUGAGGUAACGGCUCACCAAGGCGACGAUGCGUAGCCGACCUGAGAGGGUGAUCGGCCACACUGGGACUGAGACACGGCCCAGACUCCUACGGGAGGCAGCAGUAGGGAAUCUUCCGCAAUGGACGAAAGUCUGACGGAGCAACGCCGCGUGAGUGAUGAAGGUUUUCGGAUCGUAAAACUCUGUUGUUAGGGAAGAACAAGUACCGUUCGAAUAGGGCGGCACCUUGACGGUACCUAACCAGAAAGCCACGGCUAACUACGUGCCAGCAGCCGCGGGUAAUACGUAGGUGGCAAGCGUUGUCCGGAAUUAUUGGGCGUAAAGCGCGCGCAGGCGGUUUCUUAAAGUCUGAUGUGAAAGCCCCCGGCUCAACCGGGGAGGGUCAUUGGAAACUGGGGAACUUGAGUGCAGAAGAGGAGAGUGGAAUUCCACGUGUAGCGGUGAAAUGCGUAGAGAUGUGGAGGAACACCAGUGGCGAAGGC